CAUUAGAUGACUGAAAGAAAGUAAAGGUCUCUUAAACCUCCCUAUAGUAAUUAUCGCCUACUUCUAAUGG
RNAcentral lists this transfer RNA (70 nucleotides) under Lycostomus sp. YXY-2021. RNAcentral's name for it is "tRNA-Lys". RNAcentral also lists the same sequence under 1 other name. Lineage: Eukaryota; Metazoa; Arthropoda; Insecta; Coleoptera; Lycidae. The record is from RNAcentral.